This 253-nucleotide ribosomal RNA is filed under the name uncultured bacterium. RNAcentral's name for it is "partial 16S ribosomal RNA". It matches the Rfam family "Bacterial small subunit ribosomal RNA", at positions 524 to 776 of the family's 1533-position model. The record is from RNAcentral.
GACGGAGGGUGCAAGCGUUAUUCGGAUUUAUUGGGCGUAAAGAGAGUGUAGGCGGUCAGCCAAGUCUGAUGUGAAAGCCCGGGGCUUAACCUCGGAAGGGCGUUGGAAACUGGUUGACUUGAGUUCGGGAGAGGGAAGCGGAAUUCCGGGUGUAGAGGUGAAAUUCGUAGAUAUCCGGAGGAACACCGGUGGCGAAGGCGGCUUCCUGGACCGAAACUGACGCUGAGACUCGAAAGCGUGGGGAGCAAACAGG